Molecule: ribosomal RNA, 96 nt
Filed under: uncultured archaeon
Lineage: Archaea
Description: partial 16S ribosomal RNA
Source: RNAcentral
CUCCCUCGUUGCUGGCCCCAGGUUCGAUAGUACCAAUUAGGCAUCACCUCGCCAAGAACCAACUUCGAUGAAGCGACGGGCGGUGUGUGCAAGGAG